CCACUCUGCAGCCUCUAUUCUGUGUUCUCGGGCUUGGAACUGGGCCAAAAGGAGCCCAGAAAUCGCCCCCAGCGCUUUCUGCAAUUUCUGCAUGUGACGCAUAUCACGCGUACGCGUAGGUCACACGUACGCGUCGCUGCCAGCUUCUCAAAACACCAUUUUCUUGCGUUCUUUCAACUUUUGCAUGCUUCCUUUCCAUCCUCUAAGCCAUUCCUACCCUAUAAAGUCUGAAAAUACUUAACACACAGAUCACGGCAUCGAAUGGUAAUAAAAAUUGACAGUUUAAAGGCCCAGGAGACAUGUUUUCAACUAUAUCACAGAAUUAGGAAGGAAAAUGUAAAACACGCAAUUUAUAUGCAUAAGUGCGAGAAUAAUGGAUAAAAUCUACUAAAUUAAGCACAAGAUAAACUCUAAAAAUGGGGUUUAUCAAUCUCCCCACACUUACACAUUAGCAUGUCCUCAUACUAAGCUCAAGAGAACCAAAAGAGUGAAGGCAAAAGGGUAGAACUUAUGCAAUGCAACCUAUCUAGAUGCAAGCUACCUACAUGCAUCAUGCUAUUCUAAGUACUGUAUAUAUAUGUGUGUGUGUGUAAAGUGAGUUAAAUUUUCAAGAAAUCAUAUAUGCACAAUCAAGGACUAAAUCAAUCAUAUCAAAGCGCAUUCACAAUUGAGUUGAGUUAAUCAAAAGAGUUCACAAACUUGCAAGACAAGCAAUGAUCAAAUAUGGACAUAUGGAAAUGAGCAAUUGAACCCUCACUGGAUUUGUAUAUGCACUCUAAUCACUCAAGUGUUUGGGGUUAAACCACUCAAAUCUCCUCUAGUCAUACUUUCUAGAACUUUGUUCUUCAUCUAACCAAUCAACAAUUAUCAAGUGUACAAAUGCAAAUAUCAUGAGAGAUUUUCAAGGUUGUAAU
This 914-nucleotide long non-coding RNA is filed under the name Arachis ipaensis. RNAcentral describes it as "long non-coding RNA (AIPA_LNC001444)". Lineage: Eukaryota; Viridiplantae; Streptophyta; Magnoliopsida; Fabales; Fabaceae. The record is from RNAcentral.